GUGCUUGAACUUGGGUCCGUAUGGGCUUACUUUCAAGUCGCUCCUCGGAGCUAUGGACAUAAACGCGCACGUAAUAAGCGGAUCGGACCCGGGGGCGGUACCCGGCGGCUCCACCAAAGCUCCCUCGUUGGGGGAUCAUGGGGCCGAAACAGGAUCGACGAACGUCUAAAGGUGUUAGCUUUGUCUCGGCUGUCUGCCACCGUUACCGGCGAAAAUAGUACAAUUGCCAACGACAAUCGUGCUCCGGUCGCCGUUGCUGCGUAAGCAGUAACAAGACCGAAAUCUAAGUCCUUGCGCCUAGCCGCGUAAGGCGGGGUCCGCAGGCACCUGGCAACAGAAGCCUGCAUU
This 348-nucleotide transfer-messenger RNA is filed under the name Paracoccaceae bacterium. RNAcentral's name for it is "Rhodobacteraceae bacterium transfer-messenger RNA". It matches the Rfam family "Alphaproteobacteria transfer-messenger RNA". Rfam says of the family: Bacterial tmRNA, also known as 10Sa RNA or SsrA, is named for its dual tRNA and mRNA-like properties. Its role is to liberate the mRNA from a stalled ribosome. To accomplish this part of the tmRNA is used as a reading frame that ends in a translation stop signal. Lineage: Bacteria; Pseudomonadati; Pseudomonadota; Alphaproteobacteria; Rhodobacterales; Paracoccaceae. The record is from RNAcentral.